UAUAUUUAAGUGUAAUCAUGCACAUAGAAUUUUGGUAUCUAAGGGAACAAAUUAUUGUUGUUAAAUAUAA
RNAcentral lists this transfer RNA (70 nucleotides) under Orussus occidentalis. RNAcentral describes it as "tRNA-Gln". Lineage: Eukaryota; Metazoa; Arthropoda; Insecta; Hymenoptera; Orussidae. The record is from RNAcentral.